Molecule: antisense RNA, 75 nt
Filed under: Streptomyces misionensis
Lineage: Bacteria; Bacillati; Actinomycetota; Actinomycetes; Kitasatosporales; Streptomycetaceae
Description: ASpks TB sRNA
Rfam family: ASpks TB sRNA
Source: RNAcentral
CUUCAGUGAACCGAGCCACAGCGGCCGUUCCUCCGAUCGCCCACGGCCGUACGUGGCGAUGAGGGCUUCGGCCUC